RNAcentral lists this ribosomal RNA (1063 nucleotides) under uncultured organism. Its description in RNAcentral is "bacterial SSU rRNA". It matches the Rfam family "Bacterial small subunit ribosomal RNA", at positions 386 to 1441 of the family's 1533-position model. The record is from RNAcentral.
ACCGAGCGACGCCGCGUGCGGGAUGAAGGCCUUCGGGUUGUAAACCGCUGUCAGAGGGGAGGAAAUCCAUGAGGGCACUCUCUCAUGGUUGACCUAUCCUCAGAGGAAGUGCGGGCUAAGUUCGUGCCAGCAGCCGCGGUAAGACGAACCGCACAAACGUUAUUCGGAAUCACUGGGCUUAAGGGGUGCGUAGGCGGCCAUGCAAGUCGGGUGUGAAAGCCCUCAGCUCAACUGAGGAAUUGCGCCCGAUACUGCGUGGCUUGAGGGAGACAGAGGUGAGCGGAACUUGCGGUGGAGCGGUGAAAUGCGUUGAUAUCGCAAGGAACACCAGUAGCGAAAGCGGCACACUGGGUCUCUUCUGACGCUGAGGCACGAAAGCUAGGGUAGCGAACAGGAUUAGAUACCCUGGUAGUCCUAGCUGUAAACGUUGAGCACUGGGUUGGAGAGUCCUCCAUAGCUUUCCAGCCGUAGCGAAAGUGUUAAGUGCUCCGCCUGGGGAGUAUGGUCGCAAGGCUGAAACUCAAAGGAAUUGACGGGGGCUCACACAAGCGGUGGAGGAUGUGGCUUAAUUCGAGGCUACGCGAAGAACCUUAUCCUGGAUUUGACAUGCUUGGGAAUCCCCUGGAAACAGGGGAGUGCCUUCGGGAGCCCUUGCACAGGUGCUGCAUGGCUGUCGUCAGCUCGCGUCGUGAGAUGUCGGGUUAAGUCCCUUAACGAGCGAAACCCUUGUCGUUAGUUGCCAGCGGGUAAAGCCGGGGACUCUAACGAGACUGCCGGUGUUAAACCGGAGGAAGGUGGGGAUGACGUCAAGUCCUCAUGGCCUUUAUGUCCAGGGCUGCACACGUCCUACAAUGGUGCGUACAAAGGGAAGCGAACUCGCGAGAGUAAGCAAAUCCCAAAAAACGCGCCCCAGUUCGGAUUGCAGGCUGCAACUCGCCUGCAUGAAGCCGGAAUCGCUAGUAAUCGCGGGUCAGCAUACCGCGGUGAAUAUGUUCCUGAGCAUUGUACACACCGCACGUCAAGCCACGAAAGUGGGGGGCCGGCGAAGUCGCCGAGCUAACCC